This 89-nucleotide transfer RNA is filed under the name Clostridiales bacterium. Its description in RNAcentral is "tRNA-Ser". It matches the Rfam family "tRNA". Rfam says of the family: Transfer RNA (tRNA) molecules are approximately 80 nucleotides in length. Their secondary structure includes four short double-helical elements and three loops (D, anti-codon, and T loops). The record is from RNAcentral. Lineage: Bacteria; Bacillati; Bacillota; Clostridia; Eubacteriales.
GGAGAGGUAUCGAAGUGGUCAUAACGAGGCGGUCUUGAAAACCGUUUGGGUGAAAGCCCGCGUGGGUUCGAAUCCCACCCUCUCCGUCA